GACGAACGCUGGCGGCAUGCCUAAUACAUGCAAGUAGAACGCAGUUGCGGACGGGUGAGUAACGCGUAGGUAGCUACCUCCUAGCGGGGGGUAACUAUUGGAGACGAUAGCUAAUACCGCAUACUGUGAGGUGGACCUGCGUUGUAUUAGUUAGUUGGGGAGGGAAAGGCUCACCAAGGCGACGAUACAUAGCCGACCUGAGAGGGUGGUCGGCCAACAGGGGACUGGGACACGGUCCAGACCCCGACGGGAGGCAGGAGGAGGGAAUCUGCGGCCAUGGACGGAAGGCUGACUGAGCAACGCCGCGGGAGUGAAGAAGGUUUUCGGAUCGUAAAGCUCUGUUGUUAGAGAAGCGGUAAUUACCGAGAAAGGGACGGCUAACUACGUGCCAGCAGCCGCGGUAAUUC
RNAcentral lists this ribosomal RNA (407 nucleotides) under uncultured bacterium. RNAcentral describes it as "partial 16S ribosomal RNA". It matches the Rfam family "Bacterial small subunit ribosomal RNA", at positions 28 to 526 of the family's 1533-position model. The record is from RNAcentral.